RNAcentral lists this ribosomal RNA (365 nucleotides) under uncultured eukaryote. RNAcentral describes it as "partial 18S ribosomal RNA". It matches the Rfam family "Eukaryotic small subunit ribosomal RNA", at positions 592 to 976 of the family's 1831-position model. The record is from RNAcentral.
CAAUAGCGUAUAUUUAAGUUGCUGCAGUUAAAAAGCUCGUAGUUGGAUUUCGGGUGGGAAUGGCCGGUCCGCCGUUAGGUGUGCACUGAUUGGUCUCAGCUUCCUGGUGAGGAGGUGUGCUUCACGGCCACUUAGUCACCGUGGUUACUUUGAAAAAAUUAGAGUGUUCAAAGCGGGCUUACGCUUGAAUAUAUUAGCAUGGAAUAACACCAUAGGACUCCUGUCCUAUUUCGUUGGUCUCGGGACGGGAGUAAUGAUUAAGAGGAACAGUUGGGGGCAUUCGUAUUUCAUUGUCAGAGGUGAAAUUCUUGGAUUUAUGAAAGACGAACUUCUGCGAAAGCAUUUGCCAAGGAUGUUUUCAUUGA